CAGCCGCCACGGUAAUACGUAGGGCGCGAGCGUUGUCCGGAAUUAUUGGGCGUAAAGAGCUCGUAGGCGGCUGGUCGCGUCUGUCGUGAAAUCCUCUGGCUUAACUGGGGGCUUGCGGUGGGUACGGGCCGGCUUGAGUGCGGUAGGGGAGACAGGAACUCCUGGUGUAGCGGUGGAAUGCGCAGAUAUCAGGAAGAACACCGGUGGCGAAGGCGGGCCUCUGGGCCGUUACUGACGCUGAGGAGCGAAAGCGUGGGGAGCGAACAGGAUUAGAUACCCUGUAGUCCCUGUCUCUUAUACA
RNAcentral lists this ribosomal RNA (301 nucleotides) under uncultured bacterium. RNAcentral's name for it is "partial 16S ribosomal RNA". It matches the Rfam family "Bacterial small subunit ribosomal RNA", at positions 509 to 808 of the family's 1533-position model. The record is from RNAcentral.